UGGGGAAUAUUGACAAUGGGGGCAACCCUGAUCCAGCCAUGCCGCGUGAGUGAUGAAGGGCCUUCAGGUUGUAAAGCUCUUUUGGCGGGGACGAUGAUGACGGUACCCGCAGAAUAAGCCCCGGCUAACUUCGUGCCAGCAGCCGCGGUAAGACGAAGGGGGCUAGCGUUGUUCGGAAUUACUGGGCGUAAAGCGAGUGUAGGCGGUUGCCGUAGUCAGGUGUGAAAGCCUUGAGCUCAACUCAAGAAAUGCACUUGAUACUGGGUGACUAGAGGACCGGGAGAGGAUAGUGGAAUUCCCAGUGUAGUGGUGAAAUACGUAGAGAUUGGGAAGAACACCAGUGGCGAAGGCGGCUAUCUGGACGGUUACUGACGCUAAGACUCGAAAGCGUGGGGAGCAAACAGGAUUAGAUACCCUGGUAGUCCACGCCGUAAACGAUGGGUGCUAGACGUUGGCGAGCUUGCUCGUCAGUGUCGCAGCUAACGCGUUAAGCACCCCGCCUGGGGAGUACGGCCGCAAGGUUGAAACUUAAAUGAAUUGACGGGGGUCU
RNAcentral lists this ribosomal RNA (550 nucleotides) under uncultured bacterium. RNAcentral's name for it is "partial 16S ribosomal RNA". It matches the Rfam family "Bacterial small subunit ribosomal RNA", at positions 355 to 922 of the family's 1533-position model. The record is from RNAcentral.